This 277-nucleotide ribosomal RNA is filed under the name uncultured bacterium. RNAcentral's name for it is "partial 16S ribosomal RNA". It matches the Rfam family "Bacterial small subunit ribosomal RNA", at positions 65 to 339 of the family's 1533-position model. The record is from RNAcentral.
AACGAACCCGAGACUUCGGUCUCAAUGGGUGAGUGGCGAACGGGUGAGUAACACGUGAGAAAUCUACCCUGAAGAUUGGGACAACCAUUGGAAACGAUGGCUAAUACCAAAUACCCUGUUUGCGUCGCAUGGCGUGUUCAGGAAACGCUCCGGUGCUUCAGGAGGAUCUCGCGGCCUAUCAGCUUGUUGGUGAGGUAAAGGCUCACCAAGGCGACGACGGGUAGCCGGCCUGAGAGGGCGACCGGCCACACUGGGACUGAGACACGGCCCAGACUCC